GACGAACCGUGCGAACGUUGUUCGGAUUCACUGGGCUUAAAGGGCGCGUAGGCGGGCAAUCAAGUCAGGGGUGAAAGCCUCCAGCUUAACUGGAGAAGUGCCUCUGAUACUGGUCGUCUUGAGGGAGGUAGGGGCAUGUGGAACUUCCGGUGGAGCGGUGAAAUGCGUAGAUAUCGGAAGGAACGCCGGUGGCGAAAGCGGUCUGCUGGACCUCUACUGACGCUGAGGCGCGAAAGCCAGGGGAGCGAACGGG
Molecule: ribosomal RNA, 253 nt
Filed under: uncultured bacterium
Lineage: Bacteria
Description: partial 16S ribosomal RNA
Rfam family: Bacterial small subunit ribosomal RNA
Source: RNAcentral